AACGAACGCUGGCGGCAUGCCUAACACAUGCAAGUCGAACGAGACCUUCGGGUCUAGUGGCGCACGGGUGCGUAACGCGUGGGAACCUGCCCUUAGGUUCGGAAUAACUCCCCGAAAGGGGUGCUAAUACCGGAUAAUGUCUUCGGACCAAAGAUUUAUCGCCUUUGGAUGGGCCCGCGUUGGAUUAGCUAGUUGGUAGGGUAAAAGCCUACCAAGGCGACGAUCCAUAGCUGGUCUGAGAGGAUGAUCAGCCACACUGGGACCGAGACACGGCCCAGACUCCUACGGGAAGCAGCAGUGGGGAAUAUUGGACAAUGGGCGAAAGCCUGAUCCAGCAAUGCCGCGUGAGUGAUGAAGGCCUUAGGGUUGUAAAGCUCUUUUACCCGGGAUGAUAAUGACAGUACCGGGAGAAUAAGCUCCGGCUAACUCCGUG
This 433-nucleotide ribosomal RNA is filed under the name uncultured bacterium. RNAcentral describes it as "partial 16S ribosomal RNA". It matches the Rfam family "Bacterial small subunit ribosomal RNA", at positions 29 to 507 of the family's 1533-position model. The record is from RNAcentral.